RNAcentral lists this unclassified non-coding RNA (345 nucleotides) under soil metagenome. RNAcentral describes it as "partial contains 5.8S ribosomal RNA, internal transcribed spacer 2, and large subunit ribosomal RNA". The stretch from base 1 to 120 matches the Rfam family "5.8S ribosomal RNA", at positions 35 to 154 of the family's 154-position model. The record is from RNAcentral.
GAUGAAGAAACGUAGCGAAAUGCGAUACGUAAUGUGAAUUGCAAAUUCAGUGAAUCAUCGAGUCUUUGAACGCACAUUGCGCCCCCUGGUAUUCCGGGGGGCAUGCCUGUCCGAGCGUCAUUGCUGCCCUCAAGCACGGCUUGUGUGUUGGGCCUCCGUCCUCCUCCCGGGGGACGGGCCCGAAAGGCAGCGGCGGCACCGCGUCCGGUCCUCGAGCGUAUGGGGCUUCGUCACCCGCUCUUGUAGGCCCGGCCGGCGCUUGCCGACACAUCAAUCUUUUUUCCAGGUUGACCUCGGAUCAGGUAGGGAUACCCGCUGAACUUAAGCAUAUCAAUAAGCGGAGGA